UCUGGAGCAUACUCUUAGGUAUAGCUGCUAAUUACUUCAAAGACUAUUAUAACAGUAUCCGUUUAUGUCCACGCAUAAGACGGUGGCGGAGCGAAACCGCGAUACUGUACGCUCUCGAAGACCGGUUAGCGAUAACCGGUCCGAAGAGAAAAGUUCUUUGACAGAUUUAAGGAUGAGAAAAGGGGUCUUUCCUGUAAAGGAGAGACGAUAAAGAAAGUAAGCAAGGGCGCACGGGGGAUGCCUAGGCUCUUGGAGGCGAAGAAGGACGUGUUAAGCUGCGAAAAGCUUCGGGGAUUGGCAAAAACGAAUUGAUCCGAAGAUAUC
RNAcentral lists this unclassified non-coding RNA (324 nucleotides) under uncultured bacterium. Its description in RNAcentral is "partial contains 16S ribosomal RNA, 16S-23S ribosomal RNA intergenic spacer, and 23S ribosomal RNA". The stretch from base 211 to 324 matches the Rfam family "Bacterial large subunit ribosomal RNA", at positions 1 to 114 of the family's 2925-position model. The record is from RNAcentral.